This 301-nucleotide ribosomal RNA is filed under the name uncultured bacterium. Its description in RNAcentral is "partial 16S ribosomal RNA". It matches the Rfam family "Bacterial small subunit ribosomal RNA", at positions 509 to 807 of the family's 1533-position model. The record is from RNAcentral.
CAGCCGCCGCGGGAAUACGUAGGGUGCGAGCGUUAAUCGGAAUUACUGGGCGUAAAGCGUGCGCAGGCGGUUAUAUAAGACAGAUGUGAAAUCCCCGGGCUCAACCUGGGACCUGCAUUUGUGACUGUAUAGCUAGAGUACGGUAGAGGGGGAUGGAAUUCCGCGUGUAGCAGUGAAAUGCGUAGAUAUGCGGAGGAACACCGAUGGCGAAGGCAAUCCCCUGGACCUGUACUGACGCUCAUGCACGAAAGCGUGGGGAGCAAACAGGAUUAGAUACCCCUGUAGUCCCUGUCUCUUAUAC